Molecule: unclassified non-coding RNA, 282 nt
Filed under: uncultured fungus
Lineage: Eukaryota; Fungi
Description: sequence contains ITS1
Source: RNAcentral
GAUCCUGAGAGCACAUCGGGUAAACAGCCUGGUGAGCGGCUCCGGCCAGCCGAGGCUGAACGCACGGACGAUGAACCGUCAAUAGAGCGAGAGGAUACAUCAACACCCAACGUGUCGGAUACCAGACAACAACCGGUGACCAAUCAGGAUGAACAGGACAAAAUUACAAAUGCCGAAGAGAGCAAUCUACCGCUGGCGGAUAAAUGAUGAUUACCGGCUGAGCGGCACUUAGCAACGGAGUGGAUAUACGCAAUAGAUAUGGCACAGUUUUUUGACUAUGCU